AUGGAGCAGAAAUACCCUGUGCUGUAUAGCAUUUGUAAUAAGCAAGAGAUCACGGUGGAAAAGUUUAGAAAUGGUGUGGGGGAUGACUUCUUCCGGAGACAGCUUCAUGCAGCAUUGUUAGAUCAAUGGAAUGAACUCAAUAUCACUAUUAACUCCUGGGUGUUGUCGGAGGAACCUGAUCAAGUGAUUUGGAACCUGAGCAAGAAGAGAAAUUUUACAACCAGGUCGGUUUAUGACUAUCUGGAGAGAAACAUAGCGGGAAGUAACUAUAGGUGGAUCUGGCAGACGAAAAUCCCUUUGAAAAUUCAAAUUUUCAUGUGGCAAACCUUCUAGGAUGCUAUCUUGACUAGAGAUGUCAUGAGUAGAAGACGAUGGGCUGGCAACCCCAAAUGAUCCUUCUGUUGGAACAGAGAGACCUCAAAGCAUCUGUUUUUCACGUGUCCUGUGGCCAGGGUGCUCUGGUCCGAACAAUAUAUGGCAAUAUUUUUUGUGGUGCUAUGUUUUCCUUCCCGAUGGGGGGAAGUUUUACACAUUUGUGCUUGCAGCCGUGUGCUGGGCUAUAUGGAAUUGCCGCAACCAAGCUACCUUUGA
This 591-nucleotide ribosomal RNA is filed under the name Triticum aestivum (bread wheat). Its description in RNAcentral is "partial small subunit ribosomal RNA". Lineage: Eukaryota; Viridiplantae; Streptophyta; Magnoliopsida; Poales; Poaceae. The record is from RNAcentral.